GGUAGAAUGGCUGAGUUUUAAGCGAUAAAUUGUAAAUUUAUUUACGAAUGUAAAUUCUUCUACCA
This 65-nucleotide transfer RNA is filed under the name Cucujoidea sp. 33 KM-2017. RNAcentral's name for it is "tRNA-Tyr". It matches the Rfam family "tRNA". From Rfam's summary of the family: Transfer RNA (tRNA) molecules are approximately 80 nucleotides in length. The record is from RNAcentral. Lineage: Eukaryota; Metazoa; Arthropoda; Insecta; Coleoptera.